GCCGAGGUGGUGAAAUUGGUAGACACGCAUGGUUUAGGCCCAUGUGCAGCAAUGCAUGGAGGUUCAAGUCCUCUCCUCGGCA
RNAcentral lists this transfer RNA (82 nucleotides) under Patescibacteria group bacterium. RNAcentral describes it as "tRNA-Leu". It matches the Rfam family "tRNA". From Rfam's summary of the family: Transfer RNA (tRNA) molecules are approximately 80 nucleotides in length. The record is from RNAcentral.